This 301-nucleotide ribosomal RNA is filed under the name uncultured bacterium. RNAcentral describes it as "partial 16S ribosomal RNA". It matches the Rfam family "Bacterial small subunit ribosomal RNA", at positions 509 to 809 of the family's 1533-position model. The record is from RNAcentral.
CAGUAGCCGCGGGAAUACAGAGGGUGCGAGCGUUAAUCGGAUUUACUGGGCGUAAAGCGUGCGUAGGCGGCUUUUUAAGUCGGAUGUGAAAUCCCUGAGCUUAACUUAGGAAUUGCAUUCGAUACUGGGAAGCUAGAGUAUGGGAGAGGAUGGUAGAAUUCCAGGUGUAGCGGUGAAAUGCGUAGAGAUCUGGAGGAAUACCGAUGGCGAAGGCAGCCAUCUGGCCUAAUACUGACGCUGAGGUACGAAAGCAUGGGGAGCAAACAGGAUUAGACCCCGGUAGUCCCUGUCUCUUAUACAC